GACAGAGGAGGCAAGCGUUGCUCGGAAUCACUGGGCGUAAAGGGCGCGUAGGCGGGAUGGCAAGUCAGUCGUGAAAUCUCUCGGCUCAACCGAGAAACGUCGGCUGAUACUGCCGUUCUUGAGGGAUGCAGAGGAGACUGGAAUUCCCGGUGUAGCGGUGAAAUGCAUUGAGAUCGGAAAGAACACCAACGGCGAAAGCACUCUGCUGGGCCGACACUGACACUGAGAGACGAAAGCUAGGGGAGCAAAUGGG
This 253-nucleotide ribosomal RNA is filed under the name uncultured bacterium. RNAcentral's name for it is "partial 16S ribosomal RNA". It matches the Rfam family "Bacterial small subunit ribosomal RNA", at positions 524 to 776 of the family's 1533-position model. The record is from RNAcentral.